Molecule: long non-coding RNA, 466 nt
Organism: Fundulus heteroclitus (mummichog)
Lineage: Eukaryota; Metazoa; Chordata; Actinopteri; Cyprinodontiformes; Fundulidae
Exons: 3
Source: RefSeq, a predicted model, not a curated record
CGGGUCAGUCGGUCAGGAUGAGUCGGGUCAGUUGGUCAUGAUUAGUCGGGUCAGCAGCCAUGUUGGCGGCUCCGUUACCGGUCAUGAUGAGUCGGGUCAGUCGGUCAUGAUGAGUCGGGUCAGUCGGUCAGGAUGAGUCGGGUCAGUCGGUCAGGAUGAGUCGGGUCAGGAUGAGUCGGGUCAGUCGGUCAUGAUGAGUUGGGUCAGCAGCCAUGUUGGCGGCUCCGUUACCGGUCAUGAUGAGUCGGGUCAGUCGGUCAUGAUGAGUCGGGUCAGUCGGUCAGGAUGAGUCGGGUCAGUCGGUCAUGAUGAGUCGGGUCAGUCGGUCAGGAUGAGUCGGGUCAGCAGCCAUGUUGGCGGCUCCGUUACCGGUCAGGAUGAGUCGGGUCAUGAUGAGUCGGGUCAGUCGGUCAGGAUGAGUCGGGUCAGUCGGUCAGGAUGAGUCGGGUCAGUCGGUCAGGAUGAG